Molecule: long non-coding RNA, 814 nt
Filed under: Canis lupus familiaris (dog)
Lineage: Eukaryota; Metazoa; Chordata; Mammalia; Carnivora; Canidae
Description: lncRNA (ENSCAFG00000040518.3, ENSCAFG00845022339.1)
Source: RNAcentral
AGGGCUGCGGUUCCUAGAAGCACUGAAAGUCCCUUCCUGCUGCGUGGGCCCUGGGAACGGGAGAAGAAUCAUCACCAGCCAGCAGCUCUGUCACUGGACCGGGGGUGUGAAUACCAGCGUACACCACUGUGACAAUGGCAGCUGCGUGCGUGUCAUCCUCACCGUGAACUGGAGUGACUGUGGGCUGCCGCCUGGCUCCAGGCCCGGGCUCCUCGCUCCCCUCCAUACUCAGGCCUGCACACUCCUGGAGCUUUCUCUCAGUCUGGGAGGCCACUUCUCUGACCCUAAUUCCCAUCUUCACACAAGAAGUUCCAGGCCAUAAGAAAUAAGCUGAAGUCUGAGCUCCUCUGCAACCUCAUCCACAGUAAGCAAAGUGAAACAUGAUCAUUUCACAGAAUUAAAGACUGGGAAGAGCUUCUGAUUUAGGGAGAACAAUUUUUAAAAUGGAUUUGUAUGCAUAACACCCAUUGCGGUUGGUGAUAGUGGAGUCAGUGACUAAUAAAAAUGUCAUUUCCUGUGAUUUUUAUAAAUUACAGUAAAUAUGCCAGUAAUCAUCCACAUUAGCUGCUCAAAUGCAGGCAGCCAUCUGGAGUAGAGGCCAGGGGACCUCAUUGAAGCCUCAAGAGGUAGACCCCACAGGUGCAAAUUGACACCCAGGAAAACAGUAGUUAAUACUCUAGAAUUUGGAGAAAAAGAGAAUGUUAAAAUAAAUGUAUGUCAAGCAGACAAAUUUGGACUUCGCCAGGAGGAUCUGUCACGUCAAACAGGAAAUAGCUAUAAAUUACUUGUAAUAGUAAAAAUCUUGUCAUUUAUA